Molecule: ribosomal RNA, 698 nt
Filed under: uncultured soil bacterium
Lineage: Bacteria
Description: bacterial SSU rRNA
Rfam family: Bacterial small subunit ribosomal RNA
Source: RNAcentral
AGAGUUUGAUCCUGGCUCAGGAUGAACGCUGGCGGUCUGCUUAACACAUGCAAGUCGAACGGAGUGCUUCGGCACUUAGUGGCGGAUGGGUGAGUAACGCGUGAGAAUCUACCUUCAGAACGGGGACAACGACUGGAAACGGUCGCUAAUACCCGAUGUGCCGAGAGGUGAAAGAUUUAUCGUCUGAAGAUGAGCUCGCGUCAGAUUAGCUAGUUGGUGGGGUAAUGGCUCACCAAGGCGACGAUCUGUAGCUGGUCUGAGAGGAUGACCAGUCACACUGGAACUGAGACACGGUCCAGACUCCUACGGGAGGCAGCAGUGGGGAAUUUUCCGCAAUGGGCGCAAGCCUGACGGAGCAAGACCGCGUGGGGGAUGAAGGUUUGUGGAUUGUAAACCCCUUUUGUCAGGGAAGAAUGAUGACGGUACCUGACGAAUAAGCCUCGGCUAACUCCGUGCCAGCAGCCGCGGUAAUACGGAGGAGGCAAGCGUUAUCCGGAAUUAUUGGGCGUAAAGCGUCCGCAGGUGGUUGAACAAGUCUGCUGUCAAAGCGCGAGGCUCAACUUUGUAAAGGCAGUGGAAACUGUUUAACUAGAGUGCGGUAGGGGUAGAGGGAAUUCCCAGUGUAGCGGUGAAAUGCGUAGAUAUUGGGAAGAACACCGGUGGCGAAAGCGCUCUACUGGACCUGCACUGACACUGAC